UCUCCGUUGGUGAACCAGCGGAGGGAUCAUUACUGAGCGUGUAAAAACACUCAAAACCAUAGCGAACCUACCAGUGGGAUUGUAUCGUUGCCUCGGCGGGGCCUACCCGGUACCGACCCCUUUUGGGCGAAGUUACCCUGUAGCCCGCCGGUGGAUUUUCAAACUCUUGUUAUUUUAAUGUUAUCUGAGCGUCUUAUUUUAAUAAGUCAAAACUUUCAACAACGGAUCUCUUGGUUCUGGCAUCGAUGAAGAACGCAGC
RNAcentral lists this unclassified non-coding RNA (259 nucleotides) under uncultured fungus. RNAcentral's name for it is "sequence contains ITS1, 5.8S rRNA gene". The stretch from base 211 to 259 matches the Rfam family "5.8S ribosomal RNA", at positions 1 to 49 of the family's 154-position model. Lineage: Eukaryota; Fungi. The record is from RNAcentral.